Molecule: microRNA precursor, 61 nt
Filed under: Pristionchus pacificus
Lineage: Eukaryota; Metazoa; Nematoda; Chromadorea; Rhabditida; Neodiplogasteridae
Description: mir-8364 microRNA precursor family
Rfam family: mir-8364 microRNA precursor family
Source: Rfam by way of RNAcentral
UCUUCAUUCCGCACGCUAUCUCACCGGCCAGGGAGGCGAGAGAGUAUGCAAAAUGAAGAGA